GCAUAUCAAUAAGCGGAGGAAAAGAAACCAACAGGGAUUGCCCUUAGUAACGGCGAAGUGAAGCGGCAACAGCUCAAAUUUGAAAUCUGGCCUCGGCCCGCAGUUGUAAUUUGUAGAGGAAGCUUUUGGCACGGCACCUGCUGAGUCCCCUGGAACGGGGCGCCAUAGAGGGUGAGAGCCCCGUAUAGCAGGACGCCUAGCCUCUGUAAAGCUCCUUCGACGAGUCGAGUAGUUUGGGAAUGCUGCUCAAAAUGGGAGGUAAAUUUCUUCUAAAGCUAAAUACCGGCCAGAGACCGAUAGCGCACAAGUAGAGUGAUCGAAAGAUGAAAAGCACUUUGAAAAGAGGGUUAAAUAGCACGUGAAAUUGUUGAAAGGGAAGCGCUUGUGACCAGACUCGCGCCGGGCUGAUCAUCCGAGCUUCUGCUCGGUGCACUCUGCCCGGCUCGGGCCAGCAUCGGUUCUCGCGGGGGGAUAAAGGCCCUGGGAACGUAGCUCCUCCGGGAGUGUUAUAGCCCGGGGUGCAAUGCCCUCGCGGGGACCGAGGACCGCGCUUCGGCAAGGAUGCUGGCGUAAUGGUCAUCAGCGACCCGUCUUGAAACACGGACCAAGGAGUCAAGGUUUUGCGCGAGUGUUUGGGGUGUUAAACCCGCACGCGUAAUGAAAGUGAAACGUAGGUGAGAGCUUCGGCGCAUCAUCGACCGAUCCUGAUGUAUUCGGAUGGAUUUGAGUAGGAGCGUUAAGCCUUGGACCCGAAAGAUGGUGAACUAUGCUUGGAUAGGGUGAAGCCAGAGGAAACUCUGGUGGAGGCUCGCAGCGGUUCUGACGUGCAAAUCGAUCGUCAAAUCUGAGCAUGGGGGGCGAAAGACUAAUCGAAACCAUCUAGUAGCUGGGUUACCCGCCGAGU
This 904-nucleotide ribosomal RNA is filed under the name Zopfiella leucotricha. Its description in RNAcentral is "LSU rRNA". It matches the Rfam family "Eukaryotic large subunit ribosomal RNA", at positions 38 to 967 of the family's 3401-position model. Lineage: Eukaryota; Fungi; Ascomycota; Sordariomycetes; Sordariales; Chaetomiaceae. The record is from RNAcentral.